AUAGGUAUUAUGAUAAAAUUUAUGUAUAAGUGGCAUAUGAUGUUUAUAAUAGAAUUGACGAGUGAUAUCUUAGAUUUCAAGUAGCAAGGUUGACCUGAGUACGAGAAGUGUUAACCCUAGAAUGAAGUGGGAGGUAUUGAUAUAUUAUGUUAGGUAUAUUUGAUGACAUUGGAAUGCUAAACCUAUACGGAUAAAGGACAUGAUAACUUUGCUGAUUUUGAUGUUAAUUUUUUUGCAAAGAAAAGUUGGUU
RNAcentral lists this long non-coding RNA (251 nucleotides) under Elaeis guineensis (African oil palm). RNAcentral describes it as "long non-coding RNA (EGUI_LNC038063)". Lineage: Eukaryota; Viridiplantae; Streptophyta; Magnoliopsida; Arecales; Arecaceae. The record is from RNAcentral.